This 741-nucleotide long non-coding RNA is filed under the name Cyanistes caeruleus (blue tit). Its description in RNAcentral is "lncRNA (ENSCCEG00000009133.1)". Lineage: Eukaryota; Metazoa; Chordata; Aves; Passeriformes; Paridae. The record is from RNAcentral.
AUUUUAAUAUAAAAUAAAUUGCAUUUGCAAUUUAUUAAGAUUCUCUUCCUGGGCUAAUACUCUUCAUCUGUAGCAUCCUUCAUAACUGAUCUUUAUGCACAGCUUUAUUUAAUCAACAACCUGGCCAACUGGAAGAGAAGAAAUGGAAAAGUGUUUGUGAUUGUAAUUGUGUAUCUCUGAACAUUAUUUUCAUAGACUUAUUUGCUCAUUUUUUCUGCUUAGGUCUCAUGCCCUGGACCUCCUGAAUUCACAGUUUUCACAAUAUACAUGACCUUUGCAUCAUCAAGAAGCAGCUUUCCCAUCAAGACUCCUCAAGCGUGGAAAUGACAGCCCCAGUAAAAAGAACUUCCCAACUGAUUCUCAUGUGAACACUUUUAACCUGGGAAUGGCAGUAAUUCCUAACCUGUGAUCCUUUUGGCUGAGGUUCCUGCUGUUUUAACAGGAAUUUGGUGGAGCACAAAUUUUAAGGUUAAAUCUACCACAUCAACUGCAGCGAUCACAAACCGUAGUGCCUGAGGCCAGCUGUGAAUGCCACUGCAGCAAAGCUGUCACCACUGCUUAUCCAGACUGUGCAGAGGGAAAGCCUGCUUGGGAUGUGCAGCUCAGACAGUCUAAGUUGUCUUCUUGGCUUUAAUCUAUUUAAUUUUUCACAGUAAAAAUAUACAGUAGUCAUGAUCUCAUAUCUGAGUAGAAGGAAUGUGUAUUUUCACUCCAUUAAAAUAAAGGUAUGCAUGAAGUGCA